Long non-coding RNA from Triticum aestivum (bread wheat), 2215 nucleotides. RefSeq lists it as uncharacterized. The transcript is spliced from 4 exons. The record is from RefSeq and is a predicted model, not a curated record. NCBI's taxonomy places the organism in Eukaryota, Viridiplantae, Streptophyta, Magnoliopsida, Poales, Poaceae.
CAUCGAAGGAUCGACCGACGUGGCGGUCUUCCUCCAUCCAGCGGCAGCGGCUCCAGCCUAGGCGAGCCUCGCGAGGGAUUCCGACGCGGCUGGGGAUCAAUCCGAGGCGAGGCUUGCCAGUGAUCCAACGACGGAGGGGAUCGAUCCGAGGUGAGGCAUCCGGCCUCCAUCUGAGGCGAUGCGCGCGAGGAUCCGGCGAUCGACAGGAUCCCGCCGCGUAGCAGAUGGGCGACGUUUCCUCUUUGCCGUCACCGUUGCUCCUUGCCGCAGCCACUCGUGGCCAUGGCGGCCAGGGUUCACCUCCAACCUCGGCGCGUCCCCUCCUCCCACUCGCCUCGCCCCCCACCCCACCCCCCAGCAAUGAGGAGGAGCAGCCGGUGCCCCCGCCCCCGAGUUCGCCGACGACGCCGUCCUCCGGCCCAAGCUUGCUGUUACUGCUCCUCCUCUCCUCUGUCCAUGGCUUCCCCAAGCAGUAAGUAAGAGCAGAGUCCUAAUUCAACAGGCCUCUUGAUGAACGGAGAGGGGCUGCAGGGGAAGAGCCAGGCAAUUUCAAAUCUUGGGAGCUAAGUUUUUCUAUAUGGAUGUGACGCUCCAUCAGCUUCCACAUACGGCAUUUGGAAAAGUUGUUAAUGGUGGAAAAAAUGAUGUGGACAAUUAAUAAGACACAACUGGGAUGCAAAAGCAUACUGAUGCUCCUGAGAGAAGACGAAUUCACCAUUUCAGAAGGAAGUGAGCCUCCUUAGUUUUACCUACAUUCUUAAACACACAAUCUGCAAAAUCAUCUGUACGUUUUUUCUUUUCUUUUUUCCACAAGGUAUUUGGUCUUAGUUUAUUAUGCAGAUUGCAUAAGUUAAUGUUCUUUGUGAUUGGACGCGUACAUACAUACAAUUAUUUUGUUUCAGAGAUAAAUUGCAUCUUGCUCGGAUUCUUUGAUUGCAGAUACACACCAAAAUAAGUUUUCCAUUUUAAAGGAUGGAGUUCGAGCAAUUUUUUUACCUAUCUGGGCAUUUUUUUUCUUCAGAAUUUUACUACAAACAUUGCUUUAUUUGUAGAAGUGGCGACCACACUGACAUCGAUUGGUACCUUUGGGGAGGGUCUUAGAGGUCACAAACCUUAAUGUGAUAUUGUCUUUUGAAAUUGUUAUCUUGCCUAAUUUGUCUUUUCAUCCAUUAGUUGGCGUACUAUACUAUCUUUCUACCACUUUGUUCUAUAGAAGUAUAGAACCCAACUUUUCAAGCCUUUGACUUGUUUUCACUCUGCAAUUCAUCGAUUCUGUUCACUCUGUAGUUUAGAGUGUAUUCUGGACAAAAUGUUGACAUUUUCUAUUCGGCUCUCUAUUCAACCAUCCUUAUAUUGUGAUGCCGUGCUAUAUAGAGUUACCUGAUAUUAAGCUUUUCAUUGUGUAUACCCAUGCUAGAAACAAGUAUGUACUUUUAACGGUUGAUAGGCUAUCAAUUAUUAUGAUUUACAUUCUACAUUUCAUUAGUAUACGUAUUCAUCCAUGUGAUUCUUUAUGCGAAUUUUGAGGCUGCCAGGCUAGAUAUCGAGAAAAUUGUGGUUUGGGAGUGACAAGAUGCACUGUUGAGUAGUUGGACUUCGCCCAUGGUAUUGUCUUCUCGAUUUCUAACAAAGGAGAACAAUACAAGUUGAUGGAGAGGAAUACUAUUUUAUUACGAUGUUUUUUAAAGUGCACAACUGAUAAUGUAUCGAAGUGGUACACAUGGAAGAUAAAUCUCAAUAUGUGGCAAUCUUUGUAUAUAUUAAAAAUGAAAUUUUGCUAGCCGGAGGAAAUUCUUCUCAUUGAAUAUGAUAUAUACAUAGUUUAGUUGCUAUAAUUUUGUGCUGGUUGUUCCAUCUUGGAAAGCAAUUGUCCAAUUGCAGGCUGAUUAAGUUGUAGCUUGACUAAGGGUGCAUUGGCUCUCCAUGUUGUUCGGCACAAAUUAUUGUGAAACAUCACCUUGGUCAUGCAAAGCUGAACUGGAGAUCUGAAGAGAGAAAUUCAGUGUAGCUGAAUUACAGCCUUUUCUAUUGCCUAUUAGCCUCGUCUCGCACAGGAAAAGCUGAAUUGCCCUUGCCUACACUCAUGUAUUACAUUAACAGUCUCCUACGUACGCCUACUUUGUGUUUUUGUAUAACUACCAAAUCAUAAAGAACACUAUUGCUAUUACUAUAUAUAUAUAUAUAUAUAUACAACCCUUCUAUAGGCCUGAAUUAU